UGGGGAAUUUUGGACAAUGGGGGAAACCCUGAUCCAGCCAUCCCGCGUGUGCGAUGAAGGCCUUCGGGUUGUAAAGCACUUUUGUCAGGAAAGAAACGUCAUGGGUUAAUACCCCGUGAAACUGACGGUACCUGCAGAAUAAGCACCGGCUAACUACGUGCCAGCAGCCGCGGUAAUACGUAGGGUGCAAGCGUUAAUCGGAAUUACUGGGCGUAAAGCGUGCGCAGGCGGUUCGGAAAGAAAGAUGUGAAAUCCCAGAGCUCAACUUUGGAACUGCAUUUUUAACUACCGGGCUAGAGUGUGUCAGAGGGAGGUGGAAUUCCGCGUGUAGCAGUGAAAUGCGUAGAUAUGCGGAGGAACACCGAUAGCGAAGGCAGCCUCCUGGGAUAACACUGACGCUCAUGCACGAAAGCGUGGGGAGCAAACAGG
RNAcentral lists this ribosomal RNA (429 nucleotides) under Acidobacteriota bacterium. Its description in RNAcentral is "Acidobacteria bacterium partial 16S ribosomal RNA". It matches the Rfam family "Bacterial small subunit ribosomal RNA", at positions 355 to 776 of the family's 1533-position model. Lineage: Bacteria; Pseudomonadati; Acidobacteriota. The record is from RNAcentral.